GACGAACGCUGGCGGCGUGCCUAAUACAUGCCAGUUGAGCGCUGAAGGUUGGUACUUGUCCCAACUGGAUGAGCUGCGAACGGGUGAGUAACGCGUGGGGAAUCUGCCUUUGAGCGGGGGACAACAUUUGGAAACGAAUGCUAAUACCGCAUAAAAACUUUAAACACAAGUUUUAAGUUUGAAAGAUGCAAUUGCAUCACUCAAAGAUGAUCCCGCGUUGUAUUAGCUAGUUGGUGAGGUAAAGGCUCACCAAGGCGAUGAUACAUGGCCGACCUGAGAGGGUGAUCGGCCACAUUGGGACUGAGACACGGCCCAAACUCCUACGGGAGGCAGCAGUAGGGAAUCUUCGGCAAUGGACGAAAGUCUGACCGAGCAACGCCGCGUGAGUGAAGAAGGGUUUCGGAUCGUAAAACUCUGUUGGUAGAGAAGAACGUUGGUGAGAGUGGAAAGCUCAUCAAGUGACGGUAACUACCCAGAAAGGGACGGCUAACUACGUG
RNAcentral lists this ribosomal RNA (497 nucleotides) under uncultured bacterium. Its description in RNAcentral is "partial 16S ribosomal RNA". It matches the Rfam family "Bacterial small subunit ribosomal RNA", at positions 28 to 507 of the family's 1533-position model. The record is from RNAcentral.